UCGAACGAUGAACCCCUUCGGUGGGGAUUAGUGGCGAACGGGUGAGUAACACGUGGGCAAUCUGCCCUGCACUCUGGGACAAGCCCUGGAAACGGGGUCUAAUACCGGAUAUUGACCUUCACGGGCAUCCGUGAAGGUCGAAAGCUCCGGCGGUGCAGGAUGAGCCCGCGGCCUAUCAGCUUGUUGGUGAGGUAAUGGCUCACCAAGGCGACGACGGGUAGCCGGCCUGAGAGGGCGACCGGCCACACUGGGACUGAGACACGGCCCAGACUCCUACGGGAGGCAGCAGUGGGGAAUAUUGCACAAUGGGCGAAAGCCUGAUGCAGCGACGCCGCGUGAGGGAUGACGGCCUUCGGGUUGUAAACCUCUUUCAGCAGGGAAGAAGCGAAAGUGACGGUACCUGCAGAAGAAGCGCCGGCUAACUACGUGCCAGCAGCCGCGGUAAUACGUAGGGCGCAAGCGUUGUCCGGAAUUAUUGGGCGUAAAGAGCUCGUAGGCGGCUUGUCACGUCGGUUGUGAAAGCCCGGGGCUUAACCCCGGGUCUGCAGUCGAUACGGGCAGGCUAGAGUUCGGUAGGGGAGAUCGGAAUUCCUGGUGUAGCGGUGAAAUGCGCA
Molecule: ribosomal RNA, 614 nt
Filed under: Streptomyces malachitofuscus
Lineage: Bacteria; Bacillati; Actinomycetota; Actinomycetes; Kitasatosporales; Streptomycetaceae
Description: bacterial SSU rRNA
Rfam family: Bacterial small subunit ribosomal RNA
Source: RNAcentral